This 253-nucleotide ribosomal RNA is filed under the name uncultured bacterium. RNAcentral's name for it is "partial 16S ribosomal RNA". It matches the Rfam family "Bacterial small subunit ribosomal RNA", at positions 524 to 776 of the family's 1533-position model. The record is from RNAcentral.
GACAGAGGUCCCGAGCGUUAGGCGGAAUCACUGGGCUUAAAGCGUGUGUAGGCGGAUCGUUAAGUGCCUUGUGAAAUCCCAUGGCUUAACCAUGGAACUGCUUGGCAUACUGGCGAUCUUGAGCCACUUAGGGGCAACCGGAACAAAUGGUGGAGCGGUGAAAUGCGUAGAUAUCAUUUGGAACGCCAAUGGUGAAAACAGGUUGCUGGGAGUGUGCUGACGCUGAGGCGCGAAAGCUAGGGGAGCAAACGGG